Molecule: ribosomal RNA, 301 nt
Filed under: uncultured bacterium
Lineage: Bacteria
Description: partial 16S ribosomal RNA
Rfam family: Bacterial small subunit ribosomal RNA
Source: RNAcentral
CAGCCGCCGCGGGAAUACGGAGGAUCCAAGCGUUAUCCGGAAUCAUUGGGUUUAAAGGGUCCGUAGGCGGUCUUGUAAGUCAGUGGUGAAAGCCCAUCGCUCAACGGUGGAACGGCCAUUGAUACUGCAGGACUUGAAUUAUUGGGAAGUAACUAGAAUAUGUAGUGUAGCGGUGAAAUGCUUAGAGAUCACAUGGAAUACCAAUUGCGAAGGCAGGUUACUACCAAUUGAUUGACGCUGAUGGACGAAAGCGUGGGUAGCGAACAGGAUUAGAUACCCGUGUAGUCCCUGUCUCUUAUAC